GGACAUAAAAUUUGGAGAAAUUUACCCUGUUUUUUUUUUUGUAACUGAACCCUUUUUGGUCGGCCAACUCUUGUUUAUUUACUUAACCAAAGUAAAAUAUAUAUUACAUUUAGACAAACACAUGGAUAUAGAAAUUAAGAAAAAUAUGGUACCCAAAAUCACUAGAGAAAACAAAAUUAUUACAAUAUUAAACAUGCAUGCGUAUAUAUAAUUAAUGAAGCCUAAUUCAAUGAGAAAAUAUAAGGUGGCAAAUCCAUGUAUGUUAAAAUACAUCUAGAAAGAAGAAGUGUAGAAGAGAAAACAUGAUAGGUGAAAUGGGAUUGUUCUUGAGGCACAAGUGAGCUUAAAAAAGAUAUAGAAAGAGAAAGAUGUUUGACAAACACCUAAUACCAAAGAGACCCCAUCACAAUAAAACAUUAAGUUACAGGUUCAUCAUUCUUCCUCGAUAUUGCGUUAUACUUCAUCAAAACUGAAGAACAGAAAUCUAAUAAACUACUAUAUUUAAUCAAGCUGGUAUCCAUGUGUCAUGGUUAAAAGUAUUGUGAAACUUAUUUAACAAUAAAUUUGUAUGGUGAAAUAAAAAGAAAAAGAGAAAAAAGAUAGAUGUAGAAGGAGAUGGUGGCUUGGGCCAUACUUAAAAAAAUAACAUAUAAAACACGUUGAUGUGGCUGCCUUCAUUCUCCACUAUCCAAGGUGGCUGUGAUUGGUUGUUUCUUGAUUUGGGUCCAUAUAUGUUAUACAUAUAUCUAUAGAACUAUAUAUAUAAAGAUAGUAUCAUUAAUAUUCAUAAUUUGCAAGAGCCUCCUCAGGCACUGUAUGAGAAAUGGGGUGGCUCAAUUCUUUCUUCUCUCCCUUGAAGAAACUAUGGUUUCGCGUCAAUUCUACUCAAAAGAAGAGAAGAGGAAUAUACAUAUUAUACGAGGACGUGAAGUCAUGUCCAUAUGAAGAUGUGCAUGUUUUGUGGUCUAUACUCGUGGAGUCUCACCCACACACUUUGCAACCCAAACAAUAAAACCUCCAUUGUGCAUAGCUCUCGUUUUGGUUCAGAGUUCAUAUAUGGAAUGUUCAUGCUCAAGGACGAAACAAAGGAGAAAAUUGUUGGCGAAUCAUUCAUAUAUAUGUGUUACUCUCACUUGUACAUAACAAUAUAAAUACACAGAGAUUCUAAUUCCUUAUGGUUUUAUACAUUUUCUCUCUCGCGACUAUAUUGGUAUAUGGAAUGUUCAGAGAGUUCAUAUUCUCUCUCGUGAC
Molecule: long non-coding RNA, 1251 nt
Organism: Brassica napus (rape)
Lineage: Eukaryota; Viridiplantae; Streptophyta; Magnoliopsida; Brassicales; Brassicaceae
Exons: 2
Source: RefSeq, a predicted model, not a curated record